UGAGACACGGUCCAGACUCCUACGGGAGGCAGCAGUGGGGAAUAUUGCACAAUGGGCGCAAGCCUGAUGCAGCCAUGCCGCGUGUGUGAAGAAGGCCUUCGGGUUGUAAAGCACUUUCAGCGGGGAGGAAGGCGUUAAGGUUAAUAACCUUGGCGAUUGACGUUACCCGCAGAAGAAGCACCGGCUAACUCCGUGCCAGCAGCCGCGGUAAUACGGAGGGUGCAAGCGUUAAUCGGAAUUACUGGGCGUAAAGCGCACGCAGGCGGUCUGUCAAGUCGGAUGUGAAAUCCCCGGGCUCAACCUGGGAACUGCAUUCGAAACUGGCAGGCNUAGAGUCUUGUAGAGGGGGGNUAGAAUUCCAGGUGUAGCGGUGAAAUGCGUAGAGAUCUGGAGGAAUACCGGUGGCGAAGGCGGCCCCCUGGACAAAGACUGACGCUCAGGUGCGAAAGCGUGGGGNAGCAAACAGGANUUAGAUACCCUGGUAGUCCACGCCGUAAACGAUGNUCGAUUUGGAGGUUGUGCCCUUGAGGCGUGGCUUCCGGAGCUAACGCGUUAAAUCGACCGCCUGGGGNAGUACGGCCGCAAGGUUAAAACUCAAAUGAAUUGACGGGGGCCCGCACAAGCGGUGGAGCAUGUGGUUUAAUUCGAUGCAACGCGAAGAACCUUACCUGGUCUUGACAUCCACAGAACUUUCCAGAGAUGGAUUGGUGCCUUCGGGAACUGUGAGACAGGUGCUGCAUGGCUGUCGUCAGCUCGUGUUGUGAAAUGUUGGGUUAAGUCCCGCAACGAGCGCAACCCUUAUCCUUUGUUGCCAGCGGUUCGGCCGGGAACUCAAAGGAGACUGCCAGUGAUAAACUGGAGGAAGGUGGGGAUGACGUCAAGUCAUCAUGGCCCUUACGACCAGGGCUACACACGUGCUACAAUGGCAUAUACAAAGAGAAGCGACCUCGCGAGAGCAAGCGGACCUCAUAAAGUAUGUCGUAGUCCGGAUUGGAGUCUGCAACUCGACUCCAUGAAGUCGGAAUCGCUAGUAAUCGUAGAUCAGAAUGCUACGGUGAAUACGUUCCCGGGCCUUGUACACACCGCCCGUCACACCAUGGGAGUGGGUUGCAAAAGAAGUAGGUAGCUUAACCUUCGGGAGGGCGCUUACCACUUUGUGAUUCAUGACUGGGGUGAAGUCGUAACAAGGUAACCGUAGGGGAACCUGCGGUUGGAUCACCUCCUUACCUUAAAGAA
Molecule: ribosomal RNA, 1236 nt
Filed under: Klebsiella pneumoniae
Lineage: Bacteria; Pseudomonadati; Pseudomonadota; Gammaproteobacteria; Enterobacterales; Enterobacteriaceae
Description: bacterial SSU rRNA
Rfam family: Bacterial small subunit ribosomal RNA
Source: RNAcentral